GCAAGGGGCAGCCCCAAGUGGGCUGGGCUGCUUUUAUCCCAAGAUGCCAGGAUGUCAGCCCCUGGUGCCGUACAAGCUCCCAGCUCAAUGGGCUUCUCGGAAAGCGUCGAAGGGGGCCUGGAGUACAGCGGGAAGCAGGCUGUGUGCCCACCCUGACCAUUGUGUCUCUGCCAAGAGCUGCGAAUGUUUGCGGAGUGAAUGGCUGGCUGCCGAACAUCCUUGUCAAGAGUGACCUCUCCCACUGUCAGGCUGCCCCCAGCCUGGCGAAGUCUGCCUCACGCAAGGCCCCACUGUGCAGAGCAUGCCCUCCUGGCCCUCGUUACUGGCUGCCUUGUCCUGUCCCGACUGCCUUUGUACUUGGAGGGCGGUAGUGAUCGUCAGAAGAGGGCCAGUGGAGCAGACACAGCCUGGCAGCGACAGCAGAGGGAAGAUCACCCACCUGCUUUUCCUGCCUCUCCCAAUAAAUGACAGAACCGAGCAGGGGGAGCCCAGGCAUUCUUAGAAUGUGGCAGCAUUAUUUACACACUAUUCACAAUGUGUUAAAUACCCUUAAAAUGUUUGUCUUCAGGAGCAAGUUCAACACAGGCUCCUGUAAUUUUGUUUACACUAUUAAUUCACUCAGUCAAGCAUGUCUUCGCGGGGAGGACAGAGAUAACCAUGUUGAAUUGCUAUACAACCCAGCGAGGGGAAAGGCAGGCCCCCAGGAGCUGGUAAAGUGGGGAGAAGAGCAAGCUGCACUGGACUCUAGCUGGGGUUCACGUGGAGCCUCACUUCAUAACUGGGUCCUAACAAAAAGGCCCUUUGUGACAGCAGAACAAUUCACUCUUAAGGUGUAAUAGACAUCUAAGGAAGAUCAUUUUAAACCCCCUGGGAGCAAAGAUCCUGCAAGGAAGAAAAUGGCAUGUGUGCAUAUUUGAAUAAGAGGAUCAUGCAGCCGGGCGGUGGUGGCACACGCCUUUAAUCCCAGCACUUGGGAGGCAGAGGCAGGCGGAUCUCUGUGAGUUCGAGGCCGGGCUGGACUGACAGCCUCCAAAACAAUACAGAGAAACCCUGUCUCGUAAAAACCAAAAAAAAAUGUCACAGCGUGUGUGUGUGUGUCAGGAAGCAUUUCCCAGGCCCACAGAGGAUCUUCACUGGAGCCAGGAGCCAGGUCUAGGACCCAGAACACAAGGCUUACAGGCUGCCAGGCAGGUACUUUUUCCUGAACUCCUAAGUUUCUUGAACCCAGGGCAAGCAUGCUACCACUGAGCUACAGCCCUAGAUGUUUCCUGUUGAUUUUUUUCAUGUUAUGCAACAAAAGUUGGCCUCUAACUCAUAAUCCUCCUGCUUCAGCUUCCUAAGAGCUGGGAUUACAGGAAUGUGUUUCCACACUUGGCUUAGGUCUUGAAGAAAGGAAAGGUGGCACUAACCUAUGAGGGUGUAGAAGGAAACACUCCAGGCAUAGAGAUGACUUAGUAAUCAUUACAGUAGAAAAAUCUAUAGAUCUACAGGCAUAUACCUGUGUGCAUACAUAGAAAUACAUAUGCAUAUAUGGAGAAACAAGGAUGAGAAGGACACUUAAUACCAAUAUAACUAGUUAGCAUACAUAUCUAAGUGGUAGCAUUAAGGCUAUAUUCCCCUCUCUUCUUAUAUACUGCUGUAUACCCUGUGUUUAGUGAGUGAAAAUA
Long non-coding RNA from Mesocricetus auratus (golden hamster), 1667 nucleotides. RefSeq lists it as uncharacterized. NCBI's taxonomy places the organism in Eukaryota, Metazoa, Chordata, Mammalia, Rodentia, Cricetidae. The record is from RefSeq and is a predicted model, not a curated record. The transcript is spliced from 3 exons.